RNAcentral lists this transfer RNA (65 nucleotides) under Allobathynella sp. JHS-2017. RNAcentral describes it as "tRNA-Arg". The record is from RNAcentral. Lineage: Eukaryota; Metazoa; Arthropoda; Malacostraca; Bathynellacea; Parabathynellidae.
AAAUAAAAAGUAAAACCUUACACUUAGCUUCGACCUGAGAAUAGACUAAUAAAAGUCUUUAUUUA